GAAUUUGAAGCGAUCAAUUGCAAUUAGUUUCGACCUAAUCUUAGGUUUUAAGCCCUAAUUCU
Molecule: transfer RNA, 62 nt
Filed under: Pipunculus sp. XL-2018
Lineage: Eukaryota; Metazoa; Arthropoda; Insecta; Diptera; Pipunculidae
Description: tRNA-Arg
Source: RNAcentral